GACGUAGGGCGCGAGCGUUGUCCGGAUUUAUUGGGCGUAAAGAGCUCGUAGGCGGCUUGGUAAGUCGGGUGUGAAACCUCCAGGCUCAACCUGGAGACGCCACUCGAUACUGCCAUGGCUAGAGUCCGGUAGGGGCCCACGGAAUUCCUGGUGUAGCGGUGAAAUGCGCAGAUAUCAGGAGGAACACCGGUGGCGAAGGCGGUGGGCUGGGCCGGAACUGACGCUGAGGAGCGAAAGCGUGGGGAGCGAACAGG
RNAcentral lists this ribosomal RNA (254 nucleotides) under uncultured bacterium. Its description in RNAcentral is "partial 16S ribosomal RNA". It matches the Rfam family "Bacterial small subunit ribosomal RNA", at positions 524 to 776 of the family's 1533-position model. The record is from RNAcentral.